GACGAACGCUGGCGGCGUGCUUAACACAUGCAAGUCGAACGGAAAGGCCCUGCUUGCAGGGUACUCGAGUGGCGAACGGGUGAGUAACACGUGGGUGAUCUGCCCUGCACUUCGGGAUAAGCCUGGGAAACUGGGUCUAAUACCGGAUAGGAGCCAUUUUUAGUGUGAUGGUUGGAAAGUUUUUUCGGUGUAGGAUGAGCUCGCGGCCUAUCAGCUUGUUGGUGGGGUAAUGGCCUACCAAGGCGGCGACGGGUAGCCGGCCUGAGAGGGUGGACGGCCACAUUGGGACUGAGAUACGGCCCAGACUCCUACGGGAGGCAGCAGUGGGGAAUAUUGCACAAUGGGCGCAAGACUGAUGCAGCGACGCCGCGUGGGGGAUGACGGACUUCGGGUUGUAAACUCCUUUCGCUAGGGACGAAGCUUUUUGUGACGGUACCUAGAUAAGAAGCACCGGCUAACUACGUG
This 465-nucleotide ribosomal RNA is filed under the name uncultured bacterium. Its description in RNAcentral is "partial 16S ribosomal RNA". It matches the Rfam family "Bacterial small subunit ribosomal RNA", at positions 28 to 507 of the family's 1533-position model. The record is from RNAcentral.